Pelodiscus sinensis (Chinese soft-shelled turtle) is the source of this 210-nucleotide non-coding RNA. The record is from RefSeq and is a predicted model, not a curated record. Lineage: Eukaryota; Metazoa; Chordata; Testudines; Trionychidae.
GGAAUGUCGCGCAGGACAGAGCAGGACACGGGGCUUCGGUUCGCCCACUGCUCUGAAGCAGCGGGCAAAAGAAAACUGGAGGAGGCGACCUGAAUGUGGUCAGGUGAGCUCAAUCAGAGCCAUUUGUCAAGAAAAAGUCAAGGCUGACGUCUAAGAGUGACUUAUCGUCGUGUAAGGAUUGGCUGUUGCACAAUAGGAAAAGAAGCGGGG